UACGUAGGGGGCAAGCGUUGUCCGGAAUCAUUGGGCGUAAAGCGCGCGCAGGCGGUCCUUUAAGUCUACCCGUGAAAUGCCGGAGCUCAACUCCGUGCACGCCGGGGGAUACUGGAGGACUGGAGACGAGUAGAGGCAAGCGGAAUUCCGGGUGUAGCGGUGGAAUGCGUAGAGAUCCGGAAGAACACCGGAGGCGAAGGCGGCUUGCUGGGCUUGGUCUGACGCUGAGGCGCGAAAGCGUGGGGAGCGAACAGG
Molecule: ribosomal RNA, 255 nt
Filed under: uncultured bacterium
Lineage: Bacteria
Description: partial 16S ribosomal RNA
Rfam family: Bacterial small subunit ribosomal RNA
Source: RNAcentral